GACGAACGCUGGCGGCGCGCUUAACACAUGCAAGUCGAACGGAAAGGCCUGCUUUCCCUUGUGGAUUGCGGGUACUCGAGUGGCGAACGGGUGAGUAACACGUGAGUGAUCUGCCCCCAACUUGGGUAUAAGCCUGGGAAACUGGGUCUAAUUCCCGAUAGGACUGCAGGGUGGUGCCUGUGGUGGAAAACGAUUUUCUAGUGGUUGGGGAUGAGCUCGCGGCCUAUCAGCUUGUUGGUGGGGUAAUGGCCUACCAAGGCGGCGACGGGUAGCCGGCCUGAGAGGGUGGACGGCCACAUUGGGACUGAGAUACGGCCCAGACUCCUACGGGAGGCAGCAGUGGGGAAUAUUACACAAUGGGCGGAAGCCUGAUGCAGCGACGCCGCGUGGGGGAUGACGGCCUUCGGGUUGUAAACUCCUUUCGACCGCGAGGAAGCCACCUGGUUGGAAGGGUGGUGACGGUAGUAGUAGAAGAAGCACCGGCUAACUACGUG
Molecule: ribosomal RNA, 494 nt
Filed under: uncultured bacterium
Lineage: Bacteria
Description: partial 16S ribosomal RNA
Rfam family: Bacterial small subunit ribosomal RNA
Source: RNAcentral